RNAcentral lists this ribosomal RNA (98 nucleotides) under Candidatus Woesearchaeota archaeon. The record is from RNAcentral. Lineage: Archaea; Nanobdellati; Candidatus Woesearchaeota.
UCUGGUGGUUCUAGCGAAGGGGUCACACCUGAUCCCAUCUCGAACUCAGAAGUUAAGCCCUUCUGCGCCGAUGGUACUUGGGCCUGAGCCCUGGGAGA